This 3938-nucleotide unclassified non-coding RNA is filed under the name Leishmania donovani. Its description in RNAcentral is "gene:LdHU3.14.0420(CDS-product:Transmembrane_amin o_acid_transporter_protein_putative)". Lineage: Eukaryota; Euglenozoa; Kinetoplastea; Trypanosomatida; Trypanosomatidae. The record is from RNAcentral.
AGAGCAUCAAGGGUUCACAAAGGUCUUACAAACCUCUACGCAGUGCGCAUCACACCCAACGCGCCAGACGGGGACGGCACACAGAUACCGAGACUCCCACAAGCAUAUGCAUGCACUGACGCACAGGAGGCCCGUAAUGACAUGCGAAUAGCCCCUUGCAGGCUCCCCCUUCUCCCUGCCCCCCCCCCUCCAUUCACCUUCACAUCUGUGCUGUUGCUGCUGCUGCUCUCUUCUUUUGCUUGUUGCAGCUCACGAAGCCACUGUCGUCUAUUGUGCGCGGGACUUUGUGUGUUCGCUGCACAGAAAAACAAAGGGAGGCGGCAGCUGUCGGUGUGAAGCCGGAGGUCGUCUUGCCCCGCUCUCUGUCUCCCUCAUCCCCUCACCUAGUCGUGCGUGCGUGUGCUUUCAUAUAGCUGCAUAACGGGACUCUCUGUUGUUGCUGUGCUUCCUCUCCCUCUGUCUGUGGGUUCUUCAUCGCCUCCCUCCCCAGCACACGCACACCUCCGACGUCCACUCACCAACCCUCACCAUCGCCGUCAUCGCUUGGUACACUGUCUCUCUCUCUCCCUUUUUGGGUACCGUGAUUCUGUUUUUUUUUUUCGCUAUCCCUUCUAUACGUAGCUGCGUCUCUCCUAUCCUAGCCGUGCACAGCACACCUCUUCCUGGAGCCUGCCGUCUGUCCGUCACCACCGCCACCAUCACCCCAACCCUUCCCCUCCUCCGCCACGGCGAGCCGAAUAGCCUCGCUGGCGAGCGCGGUGCGUGUGUGUGUGUGUGUGCCAUUCACACCAGACAGCGGACAUGCGCUUCAACGGCAACAGCGGCACCGCGGAGGAGGGCCGCCACAGCACGAGCCCGCGGAUAUUUUCUCCACCCCUCACCCCUCCGUCGUCGCAUCCGAUGACGCCGACGUGGCCGAGCGCGACGGCUGUGGCAGAGCAAGAGCGGCAGCCACACUACUCGCUCCCCCCCUCCUCGCCACCGCUCCUCAACCUCACGCACGCAGCGGACGAGACUGACAGAUCGUCGUGCGCCGCUGGUGCAAGCGCCGGGCAGCGGUACUUCCACACCUCCUCGCUCAAGGAAACGGAGCAAGACAGGGUCGCAGACAGCUUCCACCACGCCUGGAUGACAACGCCGCAGUCCAAGUCGGCUGGCGAGCUCGCGCCCAACGGCACAGACGAUUGCACAAAUCCCUCUACAGCAUUGUGGCACCGAAGCAGCGGUGCGGUGCAGCCUACCAGCAACAGGGACCGAGAAGCAGCCAACUGCAGCGACAUCGGCUGUAGCAACGUGGAAUGUAACUGCAACGGCGGCCGUCCUCUUAGGGACGAAGGCAGUGGCGCCGACGACCUCCACCGCGCCCCUGUGGUGCGGCUCACGGCCGAGGAGGAGCAAGCGGCGCGUCUGCGCGCGUACAACGAGAUGGUCGCCGGCGCUGCUGUCGGCAGCGAUGCGGGGGUCACCGAUGGGGUUAUCGCCGCAAACAGUCGCGACUUCGUCUCGGAUACACUGCGCACAAUCCUCCCCAGCGGCGUGACGCAGUGGUUCUCGCGCUCCGUCGACGCGGUGGCACACACUUCGUCGAGCAUGGUCCCCGAUGGUGUGAAGAGCGCCGCGAGCACGGUGUCAAACACAGUCGGCGUGGGUGCCCAGCAGAUUGGUGACGCGAUUGACCGGCUGCCCGACUUGGUGGUGAAUGCGAUUCCGUCCACAGUGAUGCCCGAUGAUGUGAAGCAGCUCUUCACGGAUUUCAGCAACACCUUUCGCAGCUUCUUCCACACGAAUAUUCUGUCCAUGCCCUUCGUGUUCCGCCAAGCCGGGCUGAUUGGUGGUAUCGUGCUGCUCUCCUUCGUCGCCAUCACGUCCGAGUACGCGACGGAGGCGUACUUUGGGGCGAAGAACCAGAUGAAGAACGCGCACAAGGUUGUCCUGUACGGUGAGGUGCCGCUCAUGAUAUGGGGCAAGUGGUAUCCGAUGAUCAACUUGUUCUACGGUGUUAUCCACCUCGUCGGCUUCAUUGCAUUCUCGUCGUCGAACGCGGCGGUGCUGCUCGGUGCCAUGGGCAUGAAGGGUAGCAGUGCGCAGGCGCUGGGCCUCAUUCUGCCCUCCCUAAUCGCCCUUCCGCUCGUCCUCAUGAAGAACGCACGCAGCCAGCAGCCCCUGGCGAUCAUGUCCAACACACUCGUGCUGAACUCCGUGAUUUUGAUGUGCGUGGACUUCACCUACAAGCCCCAGCCGCCCAUGAAGCUGUGGCCCUACUCACCAUCUGAGUUCUUCGUCGCACUUGGUGUAACAGUGUACGCGUUCACCGGUAUUGGCUCGACGAUCACGGUGGAGCGCGUCAUGGCGCCGCAGCGCUACCUCAAGCUGCUGCGUGUGUCGGUGGCGAUUUCGUGGGCGCUUCUCAUGGCCUUCGGCCUCAGCGGCUUUGUCGCCUACGGCAACCACACCUGCUCCGUCAUGACGGUGUCGCUGAAGUCCGGCCCAUUGCGGACCGCGGCGAGCGCGUUGCUCUUCCUCGCAUCUCUCACGAUCAUCCCGCAGAACACGUUCCCGCUGUGCGAGCUAUCGGACCGGCGACUGCUAGGGAUUACACGGCUCACCCACUACUGGGACAUCAAGCCGAACCUGCUGCGUAUCUCAUACCUCAUUCUGAGUGCCUCGGCUGCCUUCACUGUUCCGUACUAUGGGCUUGUCCUGUCCAUAUCCGGCUCGCUUGGCUGCGGCAUCGUUGGCCUCGUCGUGCCCGCCGCGCUGGACUACGUGAGACGCGAACGCUGGGCGCUGCGGAAGGGUCGAACGCUUCGCUUCUGGGAGUACAUUCUCGUCUUCGGUCUCGGCUUCUACGGGUGUGUCGUGGUCAUUAUUGGGGUCGUAUCCGGCAGCUACCAGCUGUGGAAGAACAUUCAGACAAGCUCCCCUGACAGCUGCUAGUCGGGCGCAGGCCUGUACGAGCCACCGUCCGCUCCACUCCAUUCCUCUGAACUCCGUCCACCUUAGGAUGUGCGCGUGCAUGAACGCGUGUGAGUCAACACACGAACAUGUCACAGCGGGAAGGGUAGAGGACACUGUCAAGGGGCCACGCACUCUACGGCGCCGACCCCUCCUCGCCCCCUCUCUGCGUUCGCGUUUGCGGUUGCAUACGCUUGCGCGUUUGCGUCUGUGCCUGUAUAUUCAGCGAGAGCUCUGCUGCGCACACCGAAGGCUGAAUGCCGACUGCCUGCAUGUCAAGUCGAGCGAGAGGAGUAAUACGAUAGACGCAGAGAAGGCGCAGUGCGGGUGGUGGCGCCGCGUGCAUGCGCAGGAAUGCGCGAAGGGGGGACAGCUGAGCCUCCACCACGUCAUCCCCUCCCUACCCCUUUCGCCUACGCAUACACAGGCGUACAUACGCACGACGUCGCCGCCGCUUCGCUUUCCUCUGCUAUCGCUGUCUUUACAGCUGCCUCUUCGCUCCUUUCUUUGCCGUGUGUCUUGCUCGUAUUUCUUGUCGGCUUCCGUCUUCGCUCCGCCGCUUUCCUUAGCCCUCCCCCCUUGCCCCCUCCCGCGACUGCUUCUCUGCUUGUCUCUGACAGGAGAAAGGAAGGAUGCAGGUUCGUGUUGGUGAGGUCGGUUGCCCAUUCACGUUUCUUUCGGUUACUCGUGCGAUGUUUCUCUGCGGACGGUGUUCGCUGCUCUCUUGCUUUCAUCUCCGGUAGUUGUGCGUUAGCCACGGCACCGCAAUUCAACGCGCUUCUCUCUUCACCAUCGCGACCAGCCGAAAAACCGCUGCGGCGCCCCACCAGCGCCGCAAUCUCUCUGUGGCCCAACAGUCGCCUUCGCCUCACGCCAUCGCCGUCCUUCUCCUUGUCAUAUUUCUUCUCUGCUUGCGGCGUGCCACCCCACCCCACCCCUCCCCUCCCCCCGCCUUUUCCUGUAUCUACGGACCUGGCGCUAAG